GGAAUUUGUCAUGGCUGCUUCUGAGCUCCGUCCUGACUCUAGUGUUAACCGUGCAAUCAUUGAAAAGCUUUCAGUUAUUGCUCCAUCAGCAGAGAUAAGGCUUAAGGUUUUGAAGGAAAUUGCGCAAGAAUAUAACUUGGAGUGGGAUUCUUCCAACACAGAAGCUGAGCUUGGUAAAAAGCAUGCAGAUCUGCUGGCUGGAUCAAAGCAAAUCGUAGCUGAAGCUGCACUUUCUCANACUUUCUCAAUCUCCCAUGAAACUGAGUUCUCCUAAACCUUCAUCUUCCAAUGGGGCAAGCCCUAUUGCGAAUACAGAUAGCAAGCAAGGAUCUCUUUAUCUUCAGCCUCCUAGACCCAUGAGUAACAUGCUGGUGGUGGAUGCUAAUGAAAUUGAACCAACAUUCAGAAACCAUUCUGCAGUCUCGGUUA
RNAcentral lists this unclassified non-coding RNA (429 nucleotides) under Hevea brasiliensis (rubber tree). The record is from RNAcentral. Lineage: Eukaryota; Viridiplantae; Streptophyta; Magnoliopsida; Malpighiales; Euphorbiaceae.